This 369-nucleotide ribosomal RNA is filed under the name Pseudomonadales bacterium. Its description in RNAcentral is "partial 23S ribosomal RNA". It matches the Rfam family "Bacterial large subunit ribosomal RNA", at positions 2562 to 2925 of the family's 2925-position model. Lineage: Bacteria; Pseudomonadati; Pseudomonadota; Gammaproteobacteria; Pseudomonadales. The record is from RNAcentral.
GUCCCAAGGGUAUGGCUGUUCGCCAUUUAAAGUGGUACGCGAGCUGGGUUUAGAACGUCGUGAGACAGUUCGGUCCCUAUCUGCCGUGGGCGUUUGAGAAUUGAGAGGAGCUGCUCCUAGUACGAGAGGACCGGAGUGGACGAACCUCUGGUGUUCCGGUUGUGAUGCCAAUUGCAUUGCCGGGUAGCUACGUUCGGACAGGAUAACCGCUGAAAGCAUCUAAGCGGGAAGCCCCCCUCAAGAUUAGUUCUCACUGGGACUUAGAGUCCCCUGAAGAGCCCUCGAAGACUACGAGGUUGAUAGGCUGGGUGUGUAAGCGUUGUGAGGCGUUGAGCUAACCAGUACUAAUUGCUCGUGAGGCUUGAUCAU